UGUAGGGUUUCCAUUUCCAUGUCAUGGAGCUCGCCGACAAAACACGGGCACACCCAGCCCCUGCCUGGCUUUGGCAGGGACGGGCGCUGCCAGCCCGCUCCCGAAGCUGUUCUCCUGCAAAAAACCUGCCUGGGUCCAAGCCCUGCUCCACUUCACGUCCAGGCAGCGCAGUGCCAAGGGUUUCAGCCUGUCUGUUGAGCUCUAGUCUGUGCACAGAGAAACACAUCACCAACAUCUUAAAGUCAAUUGAGUUGCUUUGACUGAUGCUCAAGCAAAGCGUAGCUUGCUGGUCUAAGCUAAAGUGCUCAGCGCUGCUCAGUCUGCAAAUCCAAGGAUGACAGAACUGCAAAUAUUUGGAAGAUGCUGGCAGGCAAAUCCAGAGGGCACUCUCUCAACUGAACUUUCUCCUCUGUGUAAGUACACGCUGAUAGGGAGCUUUUUGAUCGGAUGAAGUGAAAGCAUGUUAAUGUGCUCCACUCAAUGAUAGGGAUUAUCCUUUAGAAAGAGAGGCGGCUGGCAUCCAUCUGUUUCCUGCAGCAGGUAUCUGCAUAUUAUCUGUCCUGACAGAUCACAUCCAAUCCUUGAGAUUGCACGCUUUAUGGAAAUUACAGGAAUCGUGCAAGUUCAGGAUUAAGACUGAAACGCUCAUUUUCUCUGUAGAAAUCCCUGUAAAACUUUACCUUGAUGAACAGUGGGCUUUUGAGGUGUGGUUCAAUCAGACAGUCGUGUGCCCAUGAACCAUCUUCCAAAAUUCCAUUUCCAAGCCUCAGCCUUUGCUUCAUCGGCUUAAACUGGGAAUUUAGGCAAUGACCACGUUACCAUUUUUUUCCUGACAUUCUAGUUAUUACUUCUACGGGUUGGUAUGCACUGUCGGAACAUUCACAGCACAGAGGACACCAACCACCAGCUGAAUUUACAUCUCCAGAUCUGAAAUUAAUUUACAUAUGCGUGUGUGUGCCUGCAUGCUGAUGACACACGGAGAAUUUUAUCCAUUUAACAUUUGCUUUUCUAUACUCAACAGUUCUGCAUGAUACCUGAAGCUCCCACAGUUAUUGCUGCACGGGGGCACCCAACUUCGCUGACAAGUGAGGAGAAACUACUCAAGUUGUGAUGGAGAAAAAAAUAAAAUGUAGGGGCUGAGGUCCCA
Molecule: long non-coding RNA, 1147 nt
Filed under: Anas platyrhynchos platyrhynchos (common mallard)
Lineage: Eukaryota; Metazoa; Chordata; Aves; Anseriformes; Anatidae
Description: lncRNA (ENSAPLG00000028686.1)
Source: RNAcentral